GCCGAGCACCAACACCAACAAACCUGCCAUAGAAGCAACAACAUGAGAAUAAAAUAUCUCAUUGCAAAGGAAUAGAUUUAUACAUUAUUAUGCUGUUGGCAGACAUUACAGAAAAAGCCAAAUAUCAUUCACGAAUUUAGCAGCUAAGAGUGACAAAAUGGUAUGAAACAACUCUGCAUAACCUUUAAUCUGACAAGAAUGGUUUAAGUAGGCUAAAAAAGGCUUUUAAUCUACAAACCUAAGAGGACCAGUUGGACUCAAAGAAGUUAUCAUUCAGAUGAAAGGCCAGUCAGAUCCAGUAGCUAGAACAGCCUUAUGGAAGAGUUUAUGUGUUAGCAACUACGGAAGUGUUUAUGUGAUAGCAACUGGUCAACUGUUUCUGUGAUACCUCAUUCAUGUCAGGACCAAAAAAGGAAAAUUGUAACAUAUGCUACAAUUGGACAAGAGAUAUUCUACUGAGACUUUAUUUGAUAAUGAGACAAACAAUAUGAGCAUCUACCUAGAGGAAAUAUAUGCAUACUUAAGUUGAACUUAC
Molecule: unclassified non-coding RNA, 535 nt
Filed under: Hevea brasiliensis (rubber tree)
Lineage: Eukaryota; Viridiplantae; Streptophyta; Magnoliopsida; Malpighiales; Euphorbiaceae
Source: RNAcentral